Molecule: ribosomal RNA, 426 nt
Filed under: uncultured prokaryote
Description: bacterial SSU rRNA
Rfam family: Bacterial small subunit ribosomal RNA
Source: RNAcentral
UGGGGAAUUUUCCGCAAUGGGCGCAAGCCUGACGGAGCAAUACCGCGUGAGGGAGGAAGGCUUUUGGGUUGUAAACCUCUUUUCUCAAGGAAGAAGCACUGACGGUACUUGAGGAAUCAGCAUCGGCUAACUCCGUGCCAGCAGCCGCGGUAAUACGAAGGGGGCUAGCGUUGUUCGGAAUUACUGGGCGUAAAGCGCGCGUAGGCGGACUGGUCAGUUGGGGGUGAAAUCCCGGGGCUCAACCUCGGAACUGCCUUCAAUACUGCCAGUCUCGAGUCCGGGAGAGGUGAGUGGAAUUCCUAGUGUAGAGGUGAAAUUCGUAGAUAUUAGGAAGAACACCAGUGGCGAAGGCGGCUCACUGGCCCGGUACUGACGCUGAGGUGCGAAAGCGUGGGGAGCAAACAGGAUUAGAUACCCGCGUAGUCC